Oreochromis niloticus (Nile tilapia) is the source of this 996-nucleotide long non-coding RNA. RefSeq lists it as uncharacterized. The record is from RefSeq and is a predicted model, not a curated record. The transcript has 2 exons. NCBI's taxonomy places the organism in Eukaryota, Metazoa, Chordata, Actinopteri, Cichliformes, Cichlidae.
CUUUCCGUUGCUUUAUGAAGACAUUUUAAGUUCAAAUUUACACAGAUUAGUCUUUGGUUUUGUUCUUUCUAUGUGUCUGAGUUUAUUUGGAUUUCUGUUUCAUGUUUUCUUGUCUUUGUCACAUCUCUGCGUCUCCUCAGUCUGUCUCAUUGCCAUGUCUGUUUCUCCCCCGGACCCGGUGUCAAGCCCGUAGUGUCUUUCCUGUUUUAUUUUGAUAGCCUCUCGUCCCUGUUCAGCUUCACUUCCCCCGUCUCACUAUGUUUAUUCAUUCCAGCUGUGUUCCCAGGUGUUUCUACUUUCCCUAAUAACCCUCAUGUAUAUUUAUUCCCUCAGUUCCCCCUUGUCAGGUUGUCUGUUCUUCUUGUCUCACAUCACAGGUGUUCAUGUUCUAUAUCCAUAGUGUUUGGUAUUCGGUUUUCCCUGUUUUGGUUCUACUUAGUUUAGUCUUAGUUUCCUUCUGCCUUUUAUUUUUGUGCUCGCUUCUGGGUCCUCGCCACAAAAUACACCACUUCUAUUUUGCAAUGCACUUUGGUGUUAUUACAGCAUCUCGUGCACCUCCCAGUUUUUUGUAACUUGGAUCAUUUGCAUGAGGAUUCCGUUAUUGUAUAGAGAGUACUACAUCACAUUGAAAAAACGAGGCAAAACAUGAUCACUUUGUUUCUGUUUGGACUUCUUCUAUUCCCUUUCCAGUGCUGAAGCAUUUAUGAGUAGCCUGCAGCCAGUCAAGCACUCCGCACACAGGAUCACAAAAAGUCCAAAACAAAAUGCCUCUGAAUGAAACUGGAUAUCCUUACAGCAAACAAGAUGAAGAAAACCUCUACUAUAGUUGCGAGCCUCAUUAAAUCUUUUUCAACAUGGAGGGUGGCAUCAGUGCAUGUGAAACACGAGCUCUCAGAUUCAUCUGAUUCCAAGGCCGGAGGACGACUACAACAUCCGAAAAUCCACCUUCUGAAGCUUUAACAGCACAUGUUUUAGGGAACAGUUUAUUUAAACAUU